UUGUUUUUAGCUUUCAGAUGUUUCCAGAGUUUCUCAGGUGCACGGGGUGACAGGUGCGACUGAUCUGCUGAUUGCCUUGAGGAGUAUUUAAGCAGGAGGCUGCCAGUACUUCGAUGCCAGAGUGUUUGCCUUCAGUGGCUGAAACCUGAACCUUGUUUAUCUUCGUUGAGCUUUGUCUUUGGCUCCAGUGAUUUCCUGGACGCUCAAGUUUACCUACGUUUUGUGGAUUACGUUCUGGAUUUUGUGUUUUGGAUUAAGCUGGCAGCUCCCUGGAAAUUCCCGACUCCUGAACCAAGGCAGAGGCGUACCCUGUCCACCCUCCAACGCAAGUACCUGAACAUUCAACUCUCUCAUGAACUCACCAGUAUUCACUUCCCAGCUCGUACUGAAGCAUCUGGACACCCAAGUUCUGACUCCCUCUACCCCUGGCGACCUGACGGCAUUUACUUAUUGGCGAAUUUACCCAUUCAUGUCCCUGUGUUCACCUACUGUAAAUAAACACUGUUACACUUUCAGCUUGUUUCCUCUGAGUGUUCUCUGUAUGUGGGUCCAUGCUAUAUCGAAAAUGUCACUCAGUUUGCUUUAGUUAAUGACUAUUCUAGGUUCUUAUGUUUCUUAUGGUUUAUUAUCUUCAUCCAUAGUUUUGCUUGAUCUGUUUUCCCUGAGUUUUGUUAUUUAUAGUUUUGUUUUUGUAGUCAGGUUCCUUUGGUUAUGUUACUGUCUAGCUUCCCUCAUGUUUUCCCCUUUGGAUUUAUGUUAUGGUUUAGCUCUCGUGUUUCGUUUUGUUUCUAGCCUUGUCACCUUAGCAACUAUUCACUUUCCCUCAGUUCUCUACAGCCUGGUCCACACCUGAAUUUAAUCUCCCCUGAUUUCCUAUCUCUCAUUCUCAUUGGUCCAUACUCCACUUCCCUCUGUUCAUAAGCUCUCUGUUCUUGUUUGUUCCUCGCUGGUUCCUUCCGUUCGAAUCCCCGUUCAUAUCUCCGUUCACCUACCUUCGUCUAUGUACUUUGCCUACUAUGUUCCUGCAGUAUCAACUUUGUAAGUUUUUGGAUUUCUUGUAUCCGCAGUGAUUUUACUACGUUCUUGCUACGUUGGAGAACCUUUGGAUUAUUCUUUAAAUAAAGUAAGAAUACUCCUUUAAACAUG
This is a long non-coding RNA of Girardinichthys multiradiatus, 1146 nucleotides long. RefSeq lists it as uncharacterized. NCBI's taxonomy places the organism in Eukaryota, Metazoa, Chordata, Actinopteri, Cyprinodontiformes, Goodeidae. The record is from RefSeq and is a predicted model, not a curated record. The transcript has 2 exons.